This 589-nucleotide ribosomal RNA is filed under the name uncultured Ascomycota. RNAcentral describes it as "eukaryotic LSU rRNA". The stretch from base 201 to 354 matches the Rfam family "5.8S ribosomal RNA". Lineage: Eukaryota; Fungi; Ascomycota. The record is from RNAcentral.
CUUGGUCAUUUAGAGGAAGUAAAAGUCGUAACAAGGUCUCCGUUGGUGAACCAGCGGAGGGAUCAUUAAAGAGUUUUUUAAACUCCUAAAACCCAUGUGAAUUUACCAAUGUUGCCUCGGCGGGGAAAGCUUACCCGCCGGUGGACCAUUCAAACUCUUAUUUUUCUUGGCAUUUCUGAAUUAUUAUCAUAAUAAGUUAAAACUUUCAACAACGGAUCUCUUGGUUCUGGCAUCGAUGAAGAACGCAGCGAAAUGCGAUAAGUAAUGUGAAUUGCAGAAUUCAGUGAAUCAUCGAAUCUUUGAACGCACAUUGCGCCCAUUAGUAUUCUAAUGGGCAUGCCUGUUCGAGCGUCAUUUCAACCCUCAAGCCCUAGUUGCUUGGUGUUGGGAGCUUAUCCUGCCGGAAGGCGGGACAACUCCUUAAAAUUAUUGGCGGAGUCACGGUGACCCCAAGCGCAGUAAUCUUUUUUUCUCGCUUUAGGUGUUAACGCUGGCCUCUAGCCAUUAAACCAACUCUAUUUUCUCAAAUGGUUGACCUCGGAUCAGGUAGGACUACCCGCUGAACUUAAGCAUAUCAAUAAGCGGAGGA